This 26-nucleotide non-coding RNA is filed under the name Cricetulus griseus (Chinese hamster). Lineage: Eukaryota; Metazoa; Chordata; Mammalia; Rodentia; Cricetidae. The record is from RNAcentral.
CGGCCAAUGCAAAGAGAACUUUUACU